AGCUUUCUUAUUCGUGAAGAGAUUUCUUCACACACCCAUCCAUUAGGGUUGAUCAAACUUCCAAGAUAAGUGACGCU
Molecule: non-coding RNA, 77 nt
Organism: Schistosoma mansoni
Lineage: Eukaryota; Metazoa; Platyhelminthes; Trematoda; Strigeidida; Schistosomatidae
Source: Rfam